Corvus moneduloides (New Caledonian crow) is the source of this 1966-nucleotide long non-coding RNA. Lineage: Eukaryota; Metazoa; Chordata; Aves; Passeriformes; Corvidae. The record is from Ensembl.
ACAUCACAGCCUGACACGAGGCAUCCUGCACCUCAUCAUCCAUGAGGGGCCGGAUGAGGUCUGUGGAGUGGGGAAGAGUUGAGUGCAAGAAUCGAUUGCAUCCUCUGAUAAAGGAGUCAGAUCUUUCAGCAAGGGUAUUGAUUUACGCAUUCAACUCUGCAAGUUGUUUUCCACUACAUCUUUUGGAACUAAAACUCAGUGAUGUGAAUGCCAAUAGGCAUGAACAAAAGCCUCGUAUAUUGAAAAGCCUGAAUCUGUAUCUGUAGAAUAAAAACUGUUACACUUCCUUGCUUUUUCUCUCCUCUGCAAGUCAUUUUCCAGGUUGUUGUUAAUGGAUUUUGCAUGCAGAAUGUAUGUGUGUGCCUAUGCAUUACCAUGAUUGCUAUUUUCCUCUAAAAAUAGGUUUUUUUGUAUAUGUAAAUAGCAUUUGAUCACAGUCUAGAAAUAUUGCAUGCCAGAAAUUGUCUGUCUUGAAAUCCUGAAUAAUAGUAUUUGGGUAGGCUGUUAUGGCAACAGAGACACACCCUCUGGAUUCGAGCAUCACAGGUUCUCAUGGCAACUUUUUUUGUAUACCUGCACAUGCAGGAAAAUAUGCUGAGCUAUCCUAGUAAUCUCUGGAAAAACAGCAGCAGUAGAAUAAACUGAUAUGUUUAUCACCUUACAUUUGUUUUUGAAAUAUACAUAAAAACCUGCCUUAAAUUUAAAAAAAAAAAAAAAAAUAGAAAAAAAGAAAAAGCACACAAAAGCCAAAACAAAACUGUGGAAACAAUAACAUAAAAUCAUUUUAUGAACAUUUACUAUAAAUUAGUAUUUAUAUUAUACUGACAGAGCUUCAACCAAUGGUGGAUUGGCAUUGUCAAUACAUUUUACAUUAUGAACACAGAGUAGGUACCAACCCUUGCCAUGAGGCAGCUCUGCUUAUUUGUUUUUUCUUCUUUUUUAAGACUUGGUGAAAUUUUACCAAAUAGGACCUUCUAUCAGAAAUACAUCAGGUUCAAAUGAUCUUGACCUAUGACACAACAAUCCUAGCAAAAGAAGUGUUCAGCCAUGCUGUUGAGCCCUCCAUUUCAGCUUUUCCUCUGCAUUCCAGGGCACUGAUCACAUUAAUCCAAUGGACUUUGGAGUAACCGUUUUUCUUUAAAGUGCAAUUCUUUUAACAAAGCUGAAUUCUCCUUCCUCUUCUCUAUUUAUUACCACCACUGUCCCCACAUGUCCCUUCCACAGCGUUAGGUGUGUAAGUACCUGGUAAAAGUGGUGUCUGUCUGUGAUCACAGGUCCCCAGUGCUCAUUGUGAGGGUUCAAGUCAGUGCAAACCACAGAGGUUUACACACACACUCCUGAGGAUGAUGUCUGUUUGGAAACAGAGCUCGUCCUUCACAAAAAGUGGUGGAAACUCUUGAACAGGAAGACACCAAUUAAAUAAUUAGGGUUAGCAUAGAAAGAACAGCAAAGUGUCUAUCCCUCAAUAUCUUUAAGAACAAAUUAUAAAACCUUCUGGGAAGGAUGUCCUAAGUAAAGCCCUUAAGGGCAGGGAGGUGAACUAGAUGGCAUCCUAAAUUCUGUAUUUCUGUGGCUGUGCCAUCACUGUGCUUGCUUGUCCUUGCAUGAGUGCCAGCCUGCACAAGCACAGACCCAGGGUAGGAUGGCAGAUGCCAGAGAGAGGAAAUUUGAAAUGAUGCACUAAGUAUGAAAGAAGAAAACAAACACCUGAGCAUGUGGAAGAGCUUCACCUGCUCCUAGUCAUUUUUCUAUGAAACUUUUUUAAUGUCUGAGGUUCACUAAAAACACUUAAAAAAAAAAAAAAAACAAACAACUUACUGGUCCACAAUAGGAGCUGCACAGGACAGGAGUACCUGUAGUUUUCCUUAUUUAAUGUGUACUCAAAGGUUUUAUUUAAGUGGUGGAUGGUAAACACAUUUUUAUUAAGAAGUAUCUUAAACUAAAAACUGACUUUGAAAAAUAUACA